This 404-nucleotide ribosomal RNA is filed under the name Actinomycetes bacterium. RNAcentral's name for it is "Actinobacteria bacterium partial 16S ribosomal RNA". It matches the Rfam family "Bacterial small subunit ribosomal RNA", at positions 355 to 776 of the family's 1533-position model. The record is from RNAcentral. Lineage: Bacteria; Bacillati; Actinomycetota; Actinomycetes.
UGGGGAAUAUUGGACAAUGGGCGCAAGCCUGAUCCAGCCAUGCCGCGUGAGUGAUGAAGGCCCUAGGGUUGUAAAGCUCUUUCACCGGUGAAGAUAAUGACGGUAACCGGAGAAGAAGCCCCGGCUAACUUCGUGCCAGCAGCCGCGGUAAUACGAAGGGGGCUAGCGUUGUUCGGAUUUACUGGGCGUAAAGCGCACGUAGGCGGACUAUUAAGUCAGGGGUGAAAUCCCGGGGCUCAACCCCGGAACUGCCUUUGAUACUGGUAGUCUUGAGUUCGAGAGAGGUGAGUGGAAUUCCGAGUGUAGAAGUGAAAUUCGUAGAUAUUCGGGGGAACACCAGUGGCGAAGGCGGCUCACUGGCUCGAUACUGACGCUGAGGUGCGAAAGCGUGGGGAGCAAACAGG